RNAcentral lists this ribosomal RNA (253 nucleotides) under uncultured bacterium. RNAcentral describes it as "partial 16S ribosomal RNA". It matches the Rfam family "Bacterial small subunit ribosomal RNA", at positions 524 to 776 of the family's 1533-position model. The record is from RNAcentral.
GACAGAGGGUGCAAACGUUGUUCGGAAUUACUGGGCGUAAAGCGCGUGUAGGCGGCUAUGCAAGUCGGAUGUGAAAGCCCUCGGCUCAACCGGGGAAGUGCACCCGAAACUGCAAAGCUAGAGUCUCGGAGAGGAUCGUGGAAUUCUCGGUGUAGAGGUGAAAUUCGUAGAUAUCGAGAGGAACACCGGUGGUGAAGGCGGCGAUCUGGACGAUGACUGACGCUGAGGCGCGAAAGCUAGGGGAGCAAACGGG